AUUUUUGCUUUUGGUUUGAUGUUCUGUAUUCAGGUGCUUAGGAAUGUUAACAUCGCAUGGGCUAGUUCGCUAUUGAGCAAACCGUUCACAAGUUUGGGUAGUAGUAGAGCAUACUGCUCAAAACCAUAAUCACAGUGAUCCAGUUGAGCAGAACCAAACCAAGAAACUUGCAGAGUCCACCGUAACAAAGGUAGUUUUCAAGUAUGUUUGCCAGAAUGACAAGUCUCAAGAUGGCAGUAGGCCCUUAAUAAGAAAGCUACUUGAGAUUCCCACUGGGGAUACGUUCUUCGAAAUCAGAUAUGGAGACAAGGGGAGUUAUUAUAACUUGAACGACUUUUGUUACUCCUAUCUUAUGUGAGUUAAGGAGGCUGCAGAGUCAGCCAUUGAAAAAAGAGUAUCAGAGAUUUGUUUUGUAGAAACUUCAUUUCUCAAAGAACGUAUAAGAAGUAUAAUGGAUAGUGCAGCUGAUGCUCUAAAUUUAGACUGCAUGAUUCAUCAUAUUUCGAAAACUGAAGCGUCUUUCCCCAGUGGCAAUGACUCAAGCAUCAAUAUCUAUCUUGAUAAAUUAUUUGAAAUUCGUAUUUGGGAAAAAAUUACAAGCGGUGAUAAGCACGUGCUGGAAAUCAUUGUGUCUGAGUUAAAGAGUAAUGGAUUUGACUUCAUAAAAGAUCCAGUGGCACUCCAGAAAAUCGAGGGAGCAGUUGAAAGAGCAAUGACGCGAAUGACAAAUGGGAUCAAGCUUAAUCUGCCUAUUCUUGCUGGUGAACCUGAUAUCAGUACUGCUAUAAGUGGGGGAAAAUGUGCUGGUCUACCUAUAUUGAAAACUCUCACU
This is a long non-coding RNA of Papaver somniferum (opium poppy), 832 nucleotides long. RefSeq lists it as uncharacterized. The transcript is spliced from 4 exons. Lineage: Eukaryota; Viridiplantae; Streptophyta; Magnoliopsida; Ranunculales; Papaveraceae. The record is from RefSeq and is a predicted model, not a curated record.